GGAUGAACGCUGGCGGCGUGCCUAAUACAUGCAAGUCGAACGAGAGCUUUCUUUCGAGGAAGUGAAAGUGGCGACCGGGUGAGUAACACGUAGCUGACCUACCCCUGGCAGGGGGAUAACCCCGGGAAACCGGGGCUAAUACCGCGUAAGCUCGCAGGGAUCAGAAGCCUGUGAGGAAAGCCCUACGGGGCGGCGAGGGCGGGGGCUGCGGGCCAUCAGCUGGCUGGUGGGGUAACGGCCUACCAGGGCGACGACGGCAAGGGGGCCUGAGAGGGUGACCCCCCACACUGGAACUGACACACGGUCCAGACUCCUACGGGAGGCAGCAGUAAGGGAUAUUGGUCAAUGGGCGCAAGCCUGAACCAGCAACGCCGCGUGCGGGAGGAAGGUUUUCGGACUGUAAACCGCUUUUGGCGGGGACGAUGAUGACGGUACCCGCGGAAUAAGUCUCGGCUAACUACGUGCCAGCAGCCGCGGUAAAACGUAGGAGGCGAGCGUUAUCCGGAUUUACUGGGCGUAAAACGCGUGCAGGCGGUGCGAUAAGUCGUGCGUGAAAGCUCCCAGGCUUAACCGGGAGAGGACGUGCGAGACUGUCGGACUAGAGGCAGGUAGAGGCAAGUGGAAUUCCGGGUGUAGUGGUGAAAUGCGUAGAGAUCCGGAGGAACCCCGGUGGCGAAGGCGACUUGCUGGGCCUGAACUGACGCUCAGACGCGAAAGCAUGGGGAGCGAACGGGAUUAGAAACCCCGGUAGUCCAUGCUGUAAACGAUGUGGACUAGGCGUCGCUGGACGUUAGUGCGGCGGUGCCGCAGCCGACGCGGUAAGUCCACCGCCUGGGGAGUACGGCCGCAAGGUUAAAACUCAAAGGAAUUGACGGGGGCCCGCACAAGCAGCGGAGCGUGUGGUUUAAUUCGAGGCUACGCGAAGAACCUUACCUGGGUUUGACAUACAGUGGUAGCGAGUGAAAGCUGAGCGACCUUCGGGAGCCUGACAGUGCUGCAUGCUGUCGUCAGCUCGUGUCGUGAGAU
This 1026-nucleotide ribosomal RNA is filed under the name uncultured bacterium. Its description in RNAcentral is "bacterial SSU rRNA". It matches the Rfam family "Bacterial small subunit ribosomal RNA", at positions 27 to 1073 of the family's 1533-position model. The record is from RNAcentral.